Long non-coding RNA from Homo sapiens (human), 743 nucleotides. Ensembl lists it as uncharacterized. The record is from Ensembl. NCBI's taxonomy places the organism in Eukaryota, Metazoa, Chordata, Mammalia, Primates, Hominidae.
GAGCAAUAACUUAUAAGCUGAGACCUGCAGGAUGAACAGGAGUUAGGUGAAGAGGAGAACGAUGUCCAGGCAGGGGCCGGGGAAGCUCGUGCCAAGGCACUGAGGGGAAGUGCUGCAAUGAACCUCAGAGGCUGGAUCUUGCUGACUCAUCUGGGGUACCAAGGACAGACAAAGGACAUGGAGUCCAGGCCCAGGAGGCGAUACCAGGCCAGCAGUUUCACUGAUGCUCCUGUCAUGACGAUGACUGCCUCCCUCCUCCCCUUGGUCCCUGACUCAGUGUCUGCAGUGACCAGGCACCAGGCAGGGAGCAAGGAACCAAGCCUUUCACCUGCUCCCACCAACUCCUAUGGUGCUCCCUUUCCAAGGCUAGGUCUCCUCUCCACCCAGUUCCUUAUCACGUACCAUGAGAAGCUGUCACCUUGGCAACUGUCACCUUCUGGUGAGAUUUACAAUUGCACUGCUACAACUGCUUGUGGCAUGGUAAAGUUGCACCAGGACCUCUGCUGUCCAUGAGAUCAAAGUUCCAGGCCAAGGCACCAGGGGCACGAACAGUGUUGCCCGCAUGGAACUCACACUUAAUGGGAGCGGCAGCCAACAGGAUGUCACCUAAGAUGAGACUGUGGUCUUUCCACUCUUGGGUCCCAAGGAGGUGCCACAGGGCCUACAAUAAGGCAAGGAAGGCUCAGUGAGGUCCGUGUUCACCCCACCCCCACUUCAACACGAGGAGUUCUGCUUUUAUUUUG